CUAUAAACACGACCACGUCUGGUAUAUUUUGUGCUUGUGCGUGCUGGACACCGCGAUCACUAGAACGAGACUGCGAGCGGUUUUAUAAGGGAUGCGAUACCAAUCGAGGGUACAAGAAGUGAUGUACAUCUUCGUGGUCUACAAUUGUAACGGUUCGAUCAACAUGAUUUCCGUACAUACUUAUUGAGUGAGAAUCGCAGAUCGAUCAGUGAGAAGCUCGCCGAUGAAGCACAGUAUGAAAAUGUUAAAGAUAAACGUUACGAGAAGUAUAGAAUACGUAAACACAGACACAGCGUCGCUAUCUUCCCAUUCCUACAAAACACGCGUCGGUGAUAUUUUUCUUUGCACUUUCCUCCGCGCAGUAAACUGUAUAUAAACGUGAUUUACUUUGUCUUCGUUUGAAAUAUUAUCAUCUCAUUAUUAUGUAGCAUACCAUUAUUAUGUAAUAUCCAAGGAGAGACAGUAUGAACGUGCACCCGAUUACUUCUACCAGGCACAUGUACUGUAGAAUAUAUUCAACUUUACCUAAGAAGCUAGAUGACAUUAAUGAGAAUAUUUGAAUUAUAAUUAUUUUUGCCCCUUAUUCUCUCGCGUUAAGCACCGUAUCGCGAGCUCCUUCGUUCACAACCUUCGCUCACCACUCGGCCGAUCGCGAUAAGGCAUUGUACUAUCUUUUAAUCCUAAUGUGUUGUCUCACAAUAGCUGCCAAUUUGCCGUUGGCCUUUCCCUCGGAGAAAUGCUUCGUCAGUGUGAGGUCCUCCAUUCUGGUGAUAAGGAUUUUGAACUGGCCGCAGGCAUGCAGCACCAGUAAAGCCGCCAGGCUGCAGGCUCCGCUGGUCACGGAAUACUGCAUGAAGCCGGAGAGAAAUUGUAUGGUAAAGAUGAUCUCGUAAGCCGGUGUCUUCUGCGGAUCGAUGAAUACGUAGUACUCGCUGAAUCCCAAGUCUGAUUGUCACGUUCUGCAGUGUGACGACAAUACCGUUCGACAAUGGCACGAUAGUGCGAUACGAGAACCCGCUGACAUACACGAAGGCUAUGCAGAUGAUCAUCAAGCUUCGGCCAAAUCUUGAGUUGUCUGUCAUGAUCCUACGAUCCUCCGACAGGCUCACCUGUUUCCAGUCUUCCUCGAUGUGUCUGAUACAAUCUUUGAUCCGGUUAUUCCAGCAGAUCAGUACAACGUGCAUAGCCAUCAGGUAGUUGCACAUGGGGCCGAUUGCCUUGAGUCGACGGCGCGCUUUCAACUCUUUGAGGAAUAUCUUCAGCAGCCCCGGCACGAAGAUGAAAUAAAGCAGACCCUGGCACAGCACCCUCAGCGACUUCAUUCAGACGAGCCUGAAAGCGGAUGAGUCGCCGAACGAUGGCCACACGUCGAUCAAGUUCAGGACAGCUCGUGUCACUUGCACGAUGCGUCUGAUAUCAUCGUGAUGCGGUCUGUUUAUAUGCAUAGCUGCUCGGUCUGUUUAAUCCCGAAGUUGCUGAAGGACUGGCCGAGCAGUAUCAUGCAGCGAAAGAACUUGCGUGCGCUUGCGUCUUCGACGCAGCUGCGGAAGAGGUGAGGGGCUGACUGUGAUUUUUAUUCACGUACAUGAUCUUUCUUCCUCUUUCGCGGAAAAUCGCGGAAAACUUUGCAAACGUCGCAACUCGUCGCGGAAAAGUUUGUAAAUGUUAUAAAUGGAUAAAUUGCGUAUUCGUCGAGGAAGGGAGCAUCGUGACGGGAAGCCUAGACGGCAGGAUAAUAGCAAGCAUAAGAGAAAAUAGCUAGAAGAAACCAAUUGUAAACGAUAUAUCGAUCGUUUGAUAAUGGGACAUUUAUCAUUCUACAUUUGACGAUUACUUCCCUAUAAGAAGUCGAAGAAGAAAUAUGUACAGAUCAGCAUGGAACAGGUGGAUCAGAAAUUGGAUAAUUGGUGAUGGCAUACAAAUAGCAGCAUCGG
Molecule: long non-coding RNA, 1934 nt
Filed under: Harpegnathos saltator (Jerdon's jumping ant)
Lineage: Eukaryota; Metazoa; Arthropoda; Insecta; Hymenoptera; Formicidae
Description: uncharacterized LOC112589535
Source: RNAcentral